RNAcentral lists this ribosomal RNA (492 nucleotides) under uncultured bacterium. RNAcentral's name for it is "partial 16S ribosomal RNA". It matches the Rfam family "Bacterial small subunit ribosomal RNA", at positions 29 to 507 of the family's 1533-position model. The record is from RNAcentral.
AGUGAACGCUGGCGGUAGGCCUAACACAUGCAAGUCGAACGGCAGCACAGUAAGAGCUUGCUCUUACGGGUGGCGAGUGGCGGACGGGUGAGGAAUACAUCGGAAUCUACUUUUUCGUGGGGGAUAACGUAGGGAAACUUACGCUAAUACCGCAUACGACCUACGGGUGAAAGCAGGGGAUCUUCGGACCUUGCGCGAUUGAAUGAGCCGAUGUCGGAUUAGCUAGUUGGCGGGGUAAAGGCCCAACAAGGCGACGAUCCGUAGCUGGUCUGAGAGGAUGAUCAGCCACACUGGAACUGAGACACGGUCCAGACUCCUACGGGAGGCAGCAGUGGGGAAUAUUGGACGAUGGGGGCAAGCCUGAUCCAGCCAUACCGCGUGGGUGAAGAAGGCCUUCGGGUUGUAAAGCCCUUUUGUUGGGAAAGAAAAGCAGCAGGUUAAUACCCCGCUGUUCUGACGGUACCCAAAGAAUAAGCACCGGCUAACUUCGUG